This 1251-nucleotide ribosomal RNA is filed under the name Vairimorpha sp. sd. Its description in RNAcentral is "SSU rRNA". It matches the Rfam family "Microsporidia small subunit ribosomal RNA". The record is from RNAcentral. Lineage: Eukaryota; Fungi; Microsporidia; Nosematidae.
CACCAGGUUGAUUCUGCCUGACGUAGACGCUAUUCCCUAAGAUUAACCCAUGCAUGUUUUUGAUAUGGAAAAAUGGACUGCUCAGUAAUACUCACUUUAUUUAAUGUAUUAAAUUAGUAUAACUGCGUUAAAGUGUAGCUAGCAUAAGACAUAUACAGUAAGAGUGAGACCUAUCAGCUAGUUGUUAAGGUAAUGGCUUAACAAGGCAAUGACGGGUAACGGUAUUACUUUGUAAUAUUCCGGAGAAGGAGCCUGAGAGACGGCUACUAAGUCUAAGGAUUGCAGCAGGGGCGAAACUUGACCUAUGGAUUUUAUCUGAGGCAGUUAUGGGAAGUAAUAUUCUAUUGUUUCAUAUUGUAAAAGUAUAUGAGGUGAUUAAUUGGAGGGCAAAUCAAGUGCCAGCAGCCGCGGUAAUACUUGUUCCAAGAGUGUGUAUGAUGAUUGAUGCAGUUAAAAAGUCCGUAGUUUAUAUUUAAGAAGCAAUAUGAGGUGUACUGUAUAGUUGGGAGAGAGAUGAAAUGUGACGACCCUGACUGGACGAACAGAAGCGAAAGCUGUACACUUGUAUGUAUUUUUUGAACAAGGACGUAAGCUGGAGGAGCGAAGAUGAUUAGAUACCAUUGUAGUUCCAGCAGUAAACUAUGCCGACGAUGUGAUAUGAUAUUAAUUGUAUUAGAUGAUAGAAAUUUGAGCUUUUUGGCUCUGGGGAUAGUAUGAUCGCAAGAUUGAAAAUUAAAGAAAUUGACGGAAGAAUACCACAAGGAGUGGAUUGUGCGGCUUAAUUUGACUCAACGCGAGGUAACUUACCAAUAUUUUAUUAUUCAGAGAAGAUUUAUAAUCUGAGAAUGAUAAUAGUGGUGCAUGGCCGUUUUCAAUGGAUGCUGUGAAGUUUUGAUUAAUUUCAACAAGACGUGAGACCCUUUUAUUAAUAGACAGACACAAUCAGUGUAGGAAGGAAAGGAUUAAAACAGGUCCGUUAUGCCCUCAGACAUUUUGGGCUGCACGCGCAAUACAAUAGAUAUAUAAUCUUUAUGGGAUAAUAUUUUGUAAGAGAUAUUUGAACUUGGAAUUGCUAGUAAAUUUUAUUAAAUAAGUAGAAUUGAAUGUGUCCCUGUUCUUUGUACACACCGCCCGUCGCUAUCUAAGAUGAUAUGUGUUGUGAAAUUAGUGAAAACUACUUGAACAAUAUGUAUUAGAUCUGAUAUAAGUCGUAACAUGGUUGCUGUUGGAGAACCAUUAGCAGGAUCAUAA